Molecule: small RNA, 582 nt
Filed under: Rattus norvegicus (Norway rat)
Lineage: Eukaryota; Metazoa; Chordata; Mammalia; Rodentia; Muridae
Description: uncharacterized LOC102552707
Source: RNAcentral
AGAGAAAGCAGAUUCCAGCUCAGAAGAGGAUGCAGGAAGAGGUGGUGAGAUGGCUCAGCAGAUGAUGGUCACUGCCACCAACCAUGGGGAUCUGAGUUCAAAUCCUGGGAAUCACAAGUUGGAAUGGGAAAACUGACUUCUGAAGCUUGGAUCUCAUCACAGUUCACGAUUGUCUGCUGGAGCUUUGAAACUUCCGGGCUGAUCUCUGCUUCCCGUCUUCAGAUGGGAAUAGAAGCCAGUAAGCGGCUCUGAGGCUCCUCACUGGCCUUCAAUAAGGACACUGUGUACCGUGGAGCAGCUGCGCAAGGCUUCGCAAAUGCUGGCUGACAAGAAGUGACAGCCCUGUAUAUCUCUCACUGGCAUUGACAGCUGACAGAUGGAUACCACUCACACACAGAAGAAAAGCCCCCGGGACGGUUCGCCAGCAUUACUCUCUGUUCACAGGGCCACAUGUGAUGGAGUGCUGCUCGGAAUAAUAAACCCGGAGGAUGGCUGCAGCGUGGGCUUCUCAUACAGCACACAGGACUUGUCCCCGCUCUAAAACACGAACAAAUAGAUACACAGAAGCUCUGUCUUGUGGGU